Molecule: unclassified non-coding RNA, 220 nt
Filed under: uncultured Streptococcus sp.
Lineage: Bacteria; Bacillati; Bacillota; Bacilli; Lactobacillales; Streptococcaceae
Description: partial ribonuclease P RNA
Rfam family: Bacterial RNase P class B
About the family: Ribonuclease P (RNase P) is a ubiquitous endoribonuclease, found in archaea, bacteria and eukarya as well as chloroplasts and mitochondria. Its best characterised activity is the generation of mature 5'-ends of tRNAs by cleaving the 5'-leader elements of precursor-tRNAs. Cellular RNase Ps are ribonucleoproteins.
Source: RNAcentral
CGGGUAUCAUUUUCUGAGGAAGUCCAUGCUAGCACAGGCUGUGAUGCCUGUAGUGUUUGUGCUAGGCGAAACCAUAAGCCUAGGGACGAGAGAUCGUUACGGCAGUCGAAAUGGCUAAGUCUUUGGAUAGGUCAGAGUAAGCUUGAAAGUGCCACAGUGACGGAGUCUUUCUGGAAACGGAGAGAGUGGAACGCGGUAAACCCCUCAAGCUAGCAACCCA